GAUGUCCCCAAAGACCCCAAAUAUCCCUGUCCCCAAACAUCCCCGGAUGUCCCCAAGUGUCCCCAAAUGUCCCCAGAGGUCCCCAAAUAUCCCCGUCUGCAAGUGUCCCAAAUGUCCCCAAGUGUCCCUAAAGUGUCCCCAAAUAUCCCCAUCCCCAAAUUCCCCAGAUGUCCCCAGUGUCCCCCAGUGUCCCCAGUGUCCCCGCUCACGGCCAGCACGGCGCCAUCGCAGAUGACGAGGUAUCCCAGCUGGUCGGGGACGCGCUCCAGGCCCUGCGUCAGCGCCGUCGUCUGGGGACGGGGGGGACA
RNAcentral lists this long non-coding RNA (308 nucleotides) under Anas platyrhynchos platyrhynchos (common mallard). Its description in RNAcentral is "lncRNA (ENSAPLG00000027623.1)". The record is from RNAcentral. Lineage: Eukaryota; Metazoa; Chordata; Aves; Anseriformes; Anatidae.